This 484-nucleotide ribosomal RNA is filed under the name uncultured bacterium. RNAcentral's name for it is "partial 16S ribosomal RNA". It matches the Rfam family "Bacterial small subunit ribosomal RNA", at positions 30 to 507 of the family's 1533-position model. The record is from RNAcentral.
AUUGAACGCUGGCGGCAGGCCUAACACAUGCAAGUCGAGCGGAUGAAGGGAGCUUGCUCCUGGAUUCAGCGGCGGACGGGUGAGUAAUGCCUAGGAAUCUGCCUGGUAGUGGGGGAUAACGUCCGGAAGCGGGUGCUACUACCGCAUACGUCCUGCGGGAGAAAGAGGGGGAUCUUCGGACCUCACGCUAUCAGAUGAGCCUAGGUCGGAUUAGCUAGUUGGUGGGGUAAAGGCCUACCAAGGCGACGAUCCGUAACUGGUCUGAGAGGAUGAUCAGUCACACUGGAACUGGGACACGGUCCAGACUCCUACGGGAGGCAGCAGUGGGGAAUAUUGGACAAUGGGCGAAAGCCUGAUCCAGCCAUGCCGAGUGUGUGAAGAAGGUCUUCGGAUUGUAAAGCACUUUAAGUUGGGAGGAAGGGCAGUAAGUUAAUACCUUGCUGUUUUGACGUUACCAACAGAAUAAGCACCGGCUAACUUCGUG